Molecule: ribosomal RNA, 490 nt
Filed under: uncultured bacterium
Lineage: Bacteria
Description: partial 16S ribosomal RNA
Rfam family: Bacterial small subunit ribosomal RNA
Source: RNAcentral
AUUGAACGCUGGCGGCAUGCCUUACACAUGCAAGUCGAACGGCAGCAUGAUCUAGCUUGCUAGAUUGAUGGCGAGUGGCGAACGGGUGAGUAAUACAUCGGAACGUGCCCUGUAGUGGGGGAUAACUAGUCGAAAGAUUAGCUAAUACCGCAUACGACCUGAGGGUGAAAGUGGGGGACCGCAAGGCCUCAUGCUAUAGGAGCGGCCGAUGUCUGAUUAGCUAGUUGGUGAGGUAAAGGCUCACCAAGGCGACAAUCAGUAGCUGGUCUGAGAGGACGAUCAGCCACACUGGGACUGAGACACGGCCCAGACUCCUACGGGAGGCAGCAGUGGGGAAUUUUGGACAAUGGGCGAAAGCCUGAUCCAGCAAUGCCGCGUGUGUGAAGAAGGCCUUCGGGUUGUAAAGCACAUUUGUCCGGAAAGAAAUGGCUCUGGUUAAUACCUGGGGUCGAUGACGGUACCGGAAGAAUAAGGACCGGCUAACUACGUG